Molecule: ribosomal RNA, 373 nt
Filed under: uncultured bacterium
Lineage: Bacteria
Description: bacterial SSU rRNA
Rfam family: Bacterial small subunit ribosomal RNA
Source: RNAcentral
GAUGAACGCUGGCGGCGUGCCUAACACAUGCAAGUCGAGCGAUCUUCUUCGGAAGAGAGCGGCGGACGGGUGAGUAACGCGUGGGUAACCUGCCCUGUACACACGGAUAACAUACCGAAAGGUAUGCUAAUACGAGAUAAUAUGUUUUUGUCGCAUGGUAGAAGUAUCAAAGCUUUUGCGGUACAGGAUGGACCCGCGUCUGAUUAGCUAGUUGGUAAGGUAACGGCUUACCAAGGCGACGAUCAGUAGCCGACCUGAGAGGGUGAUCGGCCACAUUGGAACUGAGACACGGUCCAAACUCCUACGGGAGGCAGCAGUGGGGAAUAUUGCACAAUGGGCGAAAGCCUGAUGCAGCAACGCCGCGUGAGCGAUG